UACGGAGGAUGCAAGCGUUAUCCGGAAUGAUUGGGCGUAAAGCGUCCGCAGGUGGCUGUGUAAGUCUGCUGUUAAAUAGUGAGGCUCAACCUCAUAAAGGCAGUGGAAACUACACGGCUCGAGUGCGUUCGGGGCAGAGGGAAUUCCUGGUGUAGCGGUGAAAUGCGUAGAGAUCAGGAAGAACACCGGUGGCGAAAGCGCUCUGCUAGGCCGCAACUGACACUGAGGGACGAAAGCUAGGGGAGCGAAUGGG
RNAcentral lists this ribosomal RNA (253 nucleotides) under uncultured bacterium. RNAcentral describes it as "partial 16S ribosomal RNA". It matches the Rfam family "Bacterial small subunit ribosomal RNA", at positions 524 to 776 of the family's 1533-position model. The record is from RNAcentral.